UCGGAUAUGGUGUAAUGGUUAACAUUGCCGCCUCUCAUGGGUAAGGCAAUCGGAGCAGUAUCACGCGGCAGCUCGGGGUUCGAUUCCCCGUAUCCGAA
Molecule: non-coding RNA, 98 nt
Organism: Pterulicium gracile
Lineage: Eukaryota; Fungi; Basidiomycota; Agaricomycetes; Agaricales; Pterulaceae
Source: the annotation of a GenBank genome assembly